Molecule: ribosomal RNA, 465 nt
Filed under: uncultured Gammaproteobacteria bacterium
Lineage: Bacteria; Pseudomonadati; Pseudomonadota; Gammaproteobacteria
Description: bacterial SSU rRNA
Rfam family: Bacterial small subunit ribosomal RNA
Source: RNAcentral
GCUGGCGGCAUGCUUAACACAUGCAAGUCGAACGCGAAAGUCACUUCGGUGGCGAGUAGAGUGGCGGACGGGUGAGUAACGCGUAGGAAUCUGCCCAGUAGUGGGGGACAACUCGGGGAAACUCGAGCUAAUACCGCAUACGCCCUACGGGGGAAAGUGGGGGAUCUUCGGACCUCACGCUAUUGGAUGAGCCUGCGUCGGAUUAGCUAGUUGGUGGGGUAAAGGCCUACCAAGGCGACGAUCCGUAGCUGGUCUGAGAGGACGGCCAGCCACACUGGGACUGAGACACGGCCCAGACUCCUACGGGAGGCAGCAGUGGGGAAUAUUGGACAAUGGGCGCAAGCCUGAUCCAGCAAUGCCGCGUGUGUGAAGAAGGCCUGCGGGUUGUAAAGCACUUUCAAUUGGGAAGAAAAGCUUGAGGUUAAUACCCUCGAGUCUUGACGUUACCUUUAGAAGAAGCACCGG